GAAGGUUUAGAAAACAUGAUGCACUUAAGCUCAAAACAAUGCAAUUUAAUUUAUCUCUAUUUAAAAACCCCUCAUUCAAACCCUUGGUCGUUUAGUUACUUGAUGGCAAAAGACUUAUGAACAACAAGGAAGUUGAGAAGAGAAAACUUUAGUAGAUUUCAAGCAAGUCAAGCAUAAUAGAUUGACUCUCACCGCAGCGAAAAGGCAUUCUCGCUG
RNAcentral lists this long non-coding RNA (216 nucleotides) under Theobroma cacao (cacao). RNAcentral's name for it is "long non-coding RNA (TCAC_LNC002354)". Lineage: Eukaryota; Viridiplantae; Streptophyta; Magnoliopsida; Malvales; Malvaceae. The record is from RNAcentral.